Molecule: long non-coding RNA, 568 nt
Filed under: Dromaius novaehollandiae (emu)
Lineage: Eukaryota; Metazoa; Chordata; Aves; Casuariiformes; Dromaiidae
Description: lncRNA (ENSDNVG00000018896.1)
Source: RNAcentral
CGCCCCCCUGAGGGGGCCGGGCCGCGCCGGGCCGGGCCGAGUCGGGGUGUUCGCCGUUCGCCCGUGGCAGGUGUUUGUGCGCGUCGCGGGAGCGGCGGGAGGCCUCAGGCAGCCGGGGCUUUGGCUCCGAGCUCGCCUGAGCGCGGUGCCAGAGCAGCCGGCACCGGGGCGCAGCUGGGGUUUGCCCCGCUCCGCUCUACCGACGAGGCUAAUGCAGGUCUGAAGCUACGAGAAGGCCUCAGUGCACCCAAGGCAGCGCGUGGCUCCGGGUCACUGCAGCACACGCUGAGGCCGCCCGAGCGGAGGGUCCCUGGUCACCGAAGGGAGUGCCGUGUAGUCGGGGUUUCCACCGGCCAAGCAACAGGAGCAUCACGGGCAGCGCUGUAGAUGCUCACAGAAAACUAAAUGCUGCUGAAUCAGAACCUGCAAGUACUGAAGUCAGAAGAGUGCGUGGAUUUGUCAGAAAAUUGUGCAUCCCUGGGAAGCAAGUUUGAAGACAAAGUUACAGCCCCGUAUAAGAAGUAAACCAACUGAAUGGCUGAAAUAAAUUUUUGAGAUUUUUUUUUCA